RNAcentral lists this unclassified non-coding RNA (342 nucleotides) under soil metagenome. RNAcentral describes it as "partial contains 5.8S ribosomal RNA, internal transcribed spacer 2, and large subunit ribosomal RNA". The stretch from base 1 to 120 matches the Rfam family "5.8S ribosomal RNA", at positions 35 to 154 of the family's 154-position model. The record is from RNAcentral.
GAUGAAGAACGUAGCGAAAUGCGAUACGUAAUGUGAAUUGCAGAAUUCAGUGAAUCAUCGAAUCUUUGAACGCACAUUGCGGCCAUAGGUAUUCCUUUGGCCAUGCCUGUUCGAGCGUCAUUUACACCCUCAAGCCUAGCUUGGUGUUGGGCGUCUGUCCCGCCGUUCUCGCGCGCGGACUCGCCUCAAAGUCAUUGGCGGCGGUCGUGCCGGCCCCCUCGCGCAGCACAUUUGCGCUUCUCGGAGGCCCGGCGGAUCCGCGCUCCAGCAAGACCUUUCACGACUUGACCUCGGAUCAGGUAGGGAUACCCGCUGAACUUAAGCAUAUCAAUAAGCGGAGGA